UACGGAGGGUGCGAGCGUUGUCCGGAAUCACUGGGCGUAAAGGGCGCGUAGGCGGUCUGCUAAGUUGGAUGUGAAAACUCUGGGCUUAACCCAGAGCCUGCAUUCAAUACUGACAGGCUAGAGUUCUGGAGGGGAUAGCGGAAUUCCUGGUGUAGCGGUGAAAUGCGUAGAUAUCAGGAGGAACACCGGUGGCGAAGGCGGCUAUCUGGACAGAAACUGACGCUGAGGCGCGAAAGCUAGGGGAGCAAACAGG
This 253-nucleotide ribosomal RNA is filed under the name uncultured bacterium. Its description in RNAcentral is "partial 16S ribosomal RNA". It matches the Rfam family "Bacterial small subunit ribosomal RNA", at positions 524 to 776 of the family's 1533-position model. The record is from RNAcentral.